This is a non-coding RNA of Trichomalopsis sarcophagae, 46 nucleotides long. NCBI's taxonomy places the organism in Eukaryota, Metazoa, Arthropoda, Insecta, Hymenoptera, Pteromalidae. The record is from Rfam.
UAAUCGGCCCUUUUCAGGGCCACCAUAUAUAUUAUAUACGUGGAAC